This 397-nucleotide ribosomal RNA is filed under the name uncultured bacterium. Its description in RNAcentral is "partial 16S ribosomal RNA". It matches the Rfam family "Bacterial small subunit ribosomal RNA", at positions 360 to 774 of the family's 1533-position model. The record is from RNAcentral.
AAUCUUGCGCAAUGGACGAAAGUCUGACGCAGCGACGCCGCGUGAGGGACGAAGGCCUUCGGGUCGUAAACCUCUGUCCUUGGGGACGAUAAUGACGGUACCCAAGGAGGAAGCCCCGGCUAACUACGUGCCAGCAGCCGCGGUAAUACGUAGGGGGCGAGCGUUGUCCGGAAUUAUUGGGCGUAAAGGGUGCGUAGGCGGCCUUUUAAGUCAGAUGUGAAAGCCCACGGCUUAACCGUGGGACUGCAUUUGAAACUGGAGGGCUUGAGUAUCGGAGAGGGUAGUGGAAUUCCCAGUGUAGCGGUGGAAUGCGUAGAUAUUGGGAGGAACACCAGUGGCGAAGGCGACUACCUGGACGAAAACUGACGCUGAGGCACGAAAGCUAGGGGAGCAAACA